This 211-nucleotide non-coding RNA is filed under the name Peptoniphilus indolicus. RNAcentral's name for it is "T-box sequence". It matches the Rfam family "T-box leader". Rfam says of the family: Uncharged tRNA acts as the effector for transcription antitermination of genes in the T-box leader family. T-boxes are found upstream of many aminoacyl-tRNA synthetase genes and some amino acid biosynthetic genes usually in Gram-positive bacteria. Lineage: Bacteria; Bacillati; Bacillota; Tissierellia; Tissierellales; Peptoniphilaceae. The record is from RNAcentral.
AAAAAGCCUAUUGAGGAAAGAAAGAAAUACAAGGUUAAUCACAGAGAGUCGGACUGAGCUGAGAGUCGAUAUUAAACGGUAUUUUAAUACAUUCCUCAGGUUAUCUAUUGAAAUAAUAGUAAGUAGAUACGUGUCUGUCGUUACCAGAAAAGAGAUGUAGCAAGUGCUAUAAUCAGGGUGGUACCGCGGAGUUUAGUCCUUCGCCCCUCAU